AAUAAAUAUACGUUAUUUUCUCUAAAAACAUUACCAUAAAAGCAAUUAAGUUCAUAGGAGUUCGUUAAUCGUUCGCAUUCUCCAUUGUCAUUACGUCUAUUACCAGUCCUCUAGAUUGUAAAUCUAGCGAAUCGGUGGCAGAAAUUUUCCCACAAUACACAUUCACAUUUAGCGACUGAUUAAUUUACAUAAUCAAUGGUGAAAAAAAAUCUCGAUUGUGCGCGAUAAGAAUUGCGUCAGCUCGUAAGUUGAACGAUAUGGCGUGACCGGUCACUCGAUCGCUUUCAUAAUAAUCUGCUGGAUCGGUUAGGUGGUACAGUAUGGCUAGACACAAUUGUAUUGGCAGCAAUCGUUCGGCUAACUGCAACACGACGCGCGAAACAAUAGGCUUAUAAUAAAUAUCGUCGAAAAACGACGACAACGACGGCGUUGCCUUUAGCUAAUAUCAACCCUAAGCGGCGCAUAACGAUGACACUUUACGCCGCGGCUAUGCAAACCGUGCGCCCAUAAUACCAUCGGGAAUACAACUUCCUCCCGUAAUAUCUCCGAUUUCAUAAUGCGCCGCAGCCUCUUGGUUUCCUGCUCUCUGAAAUACGGCGAUACGCCGCUUCCGAGGACGUGGGUCAUCGCGCGCGUAAAAUACAAAUGUAAAGUGCUCCAGCUACCACCCCUACUCGUAUUGAUAAGGUAGAAGAUUAUCAGAAAAUAAAAUCAUAUGGGUAUCCUUACGGGCACAAUAAGAAGAGAAAAAACAAGUGGUAAAUAUACAGUUAUAAAUACUUGUACCGUUAAAAAAUGUAUAUUACAAAUGCUUCGUAUUUUGAAUCUUUUUCUUAAUGGCUUAAACAAUUUGCAUACAGUUCUUUAAAAAUAUCCGAAGAGACUCGAAAUUUCUAAUAUCAUAAAAAUUAUCGAUACUUAACAAAGUAUUUAAUACAUUUCCAAGUAACUUUAUGGCUUGUAAACUGUUUUUCAGAAGCGUUUAAUUAAACCAUUUUUAAUGUAUGAAUCAGCAGAGCCUUGACAAUGACGUGAUCAUCUAUUUCGCUGAAUCUGCGAAAUAAAUGAUCACGUCACUGUCAAGGUUCCGCGAUCCCAUCUCCACGUAAGCGCGCGAAAGUUGCAGACGAAUAUCCGUUCCCGAGUAAAUCUUGGUCUAGCAGAGUUUGCAUGUUUUUGCGGCGUGCAAAAAUAGCCGCGCGAGUGGAUCGACAGCGGUCGGAGCUGGUUUUAUAUCGUCCUCUGCGAGAGGUGGGCCUGGGAGAGGAGAGCCCGGCUGGAGAUCGAAUCUCCAGCGAUGAUGCGAUAGCGAGAUGAGGCGUGGGAGCGAACUCGGGCUAAUCUUUCGAGCAGCGCGAGCAGCUCUCAUUCGGAGCGCGUGUCUCCUCCGUCUGUCGGUCGGUCCAGCUCUUGUGCCAUCAAGAGGGAAAGUUCUCCUCGAGAGGCCUGGUCGUGUGCCUUUCUUCCUCGCGCGUCGCGACCGGAAAAGUGCGCACGAGGAAUAAAUCGAGAACGUAAUAAAACACAGAGCGAAGCUAUUCAUUGUACCGCACAAAAUAAUGAAAACGACAGAUCUCUCUCUAUCUCUCCUUUUCUCGAAGGCGCAAUCGAAGGCACGUUUAAUGCUUUAAUCAAAUUAUUAACAGGACUGCGAAACUGCGGUGCCUUUCCCCUCCCUCGUAAAUUUUACUCUCGUUUCCCGUGGCGCUUGACCGUUAGAUACUUUAUUACAAUGAGAUCCAAACCUAUUAGAGAAACUCGGGACAACCGGAUGCUGACUGGCUAGAUAGUUAAAUGAGUCGAUCGACGGCCCGUGCUAACCGCCCCGGCAACCAAUAAUAAUUACUCUUUUCUCAACGCCCCGACUAUAUAUGUAUACAUACACGCUUACGCACAUACGUCAUGUAUGCCAUAACUCAUUUUCUUUCUCGAUACGUGAAAUCGGCGCGCAUUUCGCGUUGCGUCGUGCUCCACUGUCGGACUGAGUUGCCAUAACAGCAGAACUAUCGACGAGAGAUGUGCAUAUGUAAUUGUAUGAUACGUGUAUAUCUAUAUCGCGCACGGAACCCGAGAGCUGAAGAAAACGGUCGUUUCUAGCCUACGGUAGUCUCGGUAACGAGAAGUCGCCAAUCGUCAAUACGCAGGCAUAUAAAUGGUCGCGAUAGCGAAUACAUACGAUUACUGCGCAACGUCAAAGAGAGAUAUGAACGGACGUGAACGCGGAUAAUUACGCAACUCGUGUACUCGCAAGGCACACACAAUGAAAUAUCAUGUCAUCGCGAGCAUUACGAAAUCUGCUCCCGUGAAAAGCAUUUAACCCGCGAUUGGCGAUGUUGCGUCCGCCGCGUGCGAUUCGUCACGUGAGAAGAAUUCGUGAGAAUAAAAAAAAAAGUUCGGGGAAAGUUGAAGAAAAAAAAAAUCAGACAUUCGUGUCCGGUCGCUGUAUUUUUAUAAAAUUUCAAAUAUCCAACGCGUAAUUUGUUUUGCGCUCUUGCGAAAGUCACGGUUCAGUUCACUCAAUCUAUCGCUUACCUUCAUCGUCGCGCGAUGAUCCAAGGUACGCAAAACUAGAAGGCACAUUCCACCGCAAUAUAUGAUAUAGUCAUCAAUUACGCGCCGCGAUACGAGACGAACGUACGCGCUACGCGAGAGAGGGAAGCGCGUAAAAUAAUAAAUAAUCUCUAUUACACGCGCGUACAAUAAAUCAAUGCCCAUCUGGAGUGACGUGUGAUAUGCGAUUCCGGGUGCACUCCGCCGCGCGAACGCAUCCCCGAGGGAGAUCCGGGACGCCGCCUCUGCGAAGGUACGUCUUUGACACGGUGCGCCGAAUCGCGAAGGCGCACGAUUAAUCUUCGUAUCUCCUUCUCGCGUUACCACGAAGGCGCGUUCACUUGCGAUAUCGGCAACAAUGUUAAUUAGUCCGCGGGAUAAUUUAUACCCCCGGCAGUCCAUCGUCAGUCCAGGAGCGGUACGGAUUACUAUAGGGAAGGGCAGAGAGGAUCCCGCUUCACUCGGGACGCGGACGUAAAUCACGAGCGAGAUGCGACGUAUGGAGAAAACCUGGCCUCCUCUCGUCUCGCUCGAGAGCAUCGCCGCGCCGGUUAAAUAUUGAAUGAAGAUCCCGUCUGUGCGCGUGUACGUGUGUAAGUAUUACAAAUACGUGUAUGCGUGCACACGGCCGGACACGAUCGGCGUGUUAGAGACUGUCUCGGCCUCCUGGACGAUGUUACCGGUCAGCGAAGCAUACCACGGCGAUAGCACCCACUUUAUUACGGCGACCGUAAGCAUGGACGACGUAUUUAUCGGCCAGUCAUUCGCACCACUUACCUACUACAACUAGGCUCUCACGACGAAAAUUACGAGCCUAAUCUGGAGACCUAUGUGUGUACGUGUGGGUGAGUAGGAGUGUGUCCGACGAAGUAACAUGUUGAUUAUCCUCGAUAACUAUCUAAUCUUCGAUAAGAUGAAAUUAUUUAUUAUAUUUCGAGGCUCCAUCCUCCGCGGCUUCCGUUUGCUUAAAUGAAGCAGUAGGAUCACCAUGAUCCUUCUUGGACAUUAAGUUCGCACGAUACGCGACUCUUCUACUCGAAACUAGUAUGUUAAUGAGAACCGGCGGUAUCAUUUGCUGUUUCAAUAUAAUUUUUGUCGAAUACAACAGCUCGGCCAAUCAAUAUCAAAGAUUCGCACAACGAUUAACACACUGUGACAAAUAACCCCGACCUGCUUCAGUUACAUUAUUUGCUGUGCCUUAUUUUUAGGCUGACUAUUCUUGUCGUGACGCGAUACCAUUUACUGCAGCGUGGCGUGCAGCACAAAAGAAACGUUGACAACUCCUGAAUAACUCUUCCACCGAGCUGUCGCAGUCCCUAUCAACUUUCCGUAAGUAUUAUAUUUCUACCGUUGUGUUGUGUUGACACAAAUAAUGAUAGAUUAAUGAUAUGCAGAAUCCAGCGUCAUUUAUUCACAACAACAAAGCAAAACUUGAUGUUAUCAAGAAAAUUAAAUGUAAUUUUUCUAAAUAUUCUAUCUGUUAAGCAGAAAUAAACAUAUAAUAAAAAAGAAUACAAAAAUUAUAUUAAUAUUUCUUUCUAAUUUAUUUCCAUCACAUAUUUAACGCUAUGCAAGUAUAGCUUUAUUUUAAUAUUUAAAAAAAAUAGCAUUUAUUUUUUAAUUCUUUACGCCGAUACAAUAUCACGUAAAAGAGAUUUUUUAAAUAUUUGCUUUUUGCCGGAACUAUGGUGUUAUAAAAAAUGGACUGUUACAGAGGGCACGUGCCUUGUGAUUUAACUUAACGUAAUGCGUGACCAAGGACAAGGUCCACAGAACGUUGUUAUUUGAGGGAGAAAGAAUGUUUUGCUACGUGGUUGGACUCCCCGUGGCUGCGCGUCUGAGAGCAAGGGUGGAAACUAUGAGGCGCACGCGAGGGUUGCGAUCGAUGCUAGCCCCACCCCGAUGCAAUCUGACGGGAAGCGGAGGCAGUGUCGUUGAUUCGUAUGCAUCCCCGACUAGACGGAUACUUAGAAGCUGCGAACGAUAGACCGUGCAUUUUCAAAUAUCAACACAGUCUAAUUAUACGUCUGAUUGAUAUAUAGUAUCUUAUAAUAAUAUAUAUUACGUAGAAUUAGAUAAUAAACAUACCGAACAGAUGAGAUAUUGGCAAUAUUUGUCAAUAGACAUGUAAUAAUUAGAAAUUCUAUUCCCGUUUAUUUAUAAUAGCGCCAUACUUAAUAUCGCUAUAAUAUAGAGAAUAAUGAUCGUGAACUCUAUUAUAUACAGGUUCAAAACUUGCAAGUAAUAUUUUAUCUUAAUCUUCGCCCGAGCCCAAGAACUGCUAUUUGUACUCAUAAAUACGAGCGUAGGCGUAGACCGUAAAAAAAAAAUAUAUUGACAGUACCAUUAGACUGGCAUGCCACUUGGUUGUUCCAUGUAUUUACCGAGGCUCAUAAAACCAUCGAAUUCCAUCGAAGUCCAGGAAGCCAAAUAAAAAUUAGGCGCGUUUACCUUCCUCGGUUUGAGAAUCGUUAUCGACGCGUGUAGUAUCCACCCGCGAUUUCCGCGUGUCUCGUAAUUGCGACAUUUCUAAAAUUAUCCCUCGUAUUGCUUCCGAUCAACAUAUUCGCGUGCUACCAAAUGCAUCGCAAUUACCGGGUUAGCAAUUCCCAUAAUGGCAGUAUUAAAACGUCUUCUAAAAUAAAAUCUCUUAUUUCGCACGUAAACUUUAAAUCGUGUUCUCGAGGCUAUUUAUGUAUCCUCCUCUCCACCUAUACAAACAUCCUUAUAUACAAACUAAACAAGCAAUAUGCUGUGAAUAAAAAUUAUAUUAAUUUAUCGAAAUUUUACUUAUAUAAACAGCUAAUUUACGAUCAAAAUCUACGAAAUUAAACUUAAAGUUUGUUUAAUAAUAUAGACAGAAUUGUUUAAUUUGUUUGAUAAAUUCUAUUUCUUUUUAACAAUUAUAGAGAAGUAAGUGUGGUUCAUUAUAGUACAAUUCCCAAACUUAAAAUAGCUAACUGCAGAUAAGAUUAUUGAUUUCAAACUUCAACCCUCCAUUCGCCCUCACCUCAGUGCCGGGGUGAGUGGACGAUUCCGUUGGCCUACUUUAAGCGUCACGUCACAGCGGUUUUUUUUUUUCGAUCGUGACUUUGCAAGCAAACCCUCUCGCAAUUUACACAACCAAUAAAAAAAUUCAAUUCCGUUCACGUCGACGUGCGAAUCAAUGUCGUCGUCACAACAGCGCCGCAUACCAGCCAUUUUUUUUAUCAAUUUUUCGUCGCGCACCGCGAAGUGCUAUCGAGAUUGCGAUCUGAAAUUUUCACAUACGCAUAGUUAUCCCGACUUGACCGACGCGAAUGGACGUAGGCCAAGGUGAGCGAGCCAAUUCUAAUUUGUGAUAGAUCGCGGGCGUGAUAGAUUUUCUAUUAUCUCGCGCGCCGAGAAUUCGCGCGCGGCAACCGCGACCUAUAUAUAUAGACUGAUGGUCUACUCAGUCCAUUGUAUCGGGUUUCUCAAGCUUCACGUAAAAGGCCGGGUACUGUUCACAUCCCGAGCGCUGUUCAGAGUGUACGACUCGAGUUUCCAGAGUUCGGUCGCAAUUUGAAUAUCGGAGCGUCAUUAAACGCAGUAACGAGGGAGACCUGCCUGCGGUCGCGGAUACGAGACGAGCGACGAGAGCCUUACUCGCGCAUUGUAUCGUUCAAUUUGCAGACGCGCAUAAACCUUUCCUGUGAAUUGAACGGUGCAAUGCGGAAUCCAAGCUCAUUUAUCCCUUUGAAUAUCGCGAGUGAGUUAAACAAGCAAGAACACGUGACGUGGCCAUAUUAAAAAAAAAAAAAAAACACACAUGAAAUCGUCACGCUUGUCGGCCCCGACGACGAUGAACCGCAGAGGACAGCGUGGGAAAGAGGCGAGAAAAGUCCAGGGAUCGCGAAACGCUCUUCCGCUCCUGCGACUCGCGAAAGAGACUCGUGGAGAGACGCGAGAUCGAUUUAUUGCCGGUAGUAACGGGCUGGCACUCCUCGGCAAAAUGUCGUCGCAAUAUCCAAGUUUGCUCUCCCGUCUGCAUUUCACGUGUCUUCGUCGCGCUCGCCUCGUAUCCUUUCAAUAUUUUUUUGCGAACACACGUCAUUGCCUACGCCGGUACAUAGGAAGAAUAAAAAUACCGUUCGGCCAAACGUGACGAUUACUUAAUCAGCAUGGUGCACUAAAUGCCAGAUCGCGCCAGAUAAGGCCGGAGAUCGAUUAUGACGGAGACCUAUCGUUAAUUACGUCUCUCGACGGCGAGUACUCGUCCACGCGGAAAAUUACUCCACUUAAGAGGUUGCGCGUAAUUUUUAUAUAUCGACUGUCCGUUGGAUUUGGUGAGCGUUUAUUGCCGAGCGAUUGAUAUAUGAUCGCAGCUUUACGACGUUGCGUUAAUAAUCGCCCGACUUCCACCGCCGAUGAAUGAACGGAUAACGCGCGUAUAAGUAAAUGUCGCGAUUAAGAUUUUCGCGAGAAAAUCUCUUAUGCUAAUAUACAAGGACCGGUGGUAUUUCGCUGUUCGUUGUGUUACGUGAUUUCGUCGCGCGAGUCAAUUACACGGUUAAAUUAAAGUCGGCGAGCAAAUCAUCGUACACUUGAAGCAUUCAAUGCAAAUCGCCGGGUCCGCGCGGCUCGAGCUGCAGGACGUGUAGAUAAUCCAUUAAUGCACGUAUGAAUGUCACUUCGGAUCGCGCAUAACUCAUCCGGGUUAAAGUCUCACCGCCGAGGGCGAAAGUCGGUGUCGACGGCGAUAAAACGCGUCGAUAACGCAAACGCGGCGACGGACAAUCCGACGAUGCUAUACGAGAGAAGAUUUUACAUAACUUGGCGCCAAAUUACUUAAGGGAUAGACUAGAAGUAAUUAGUAAUGAAAAUGGAAGAAAAACAAGACAGGAAGACUAUCGCAAUAAAAUUCGUUAGAACAAAAAGUGCGCAAAAAAGCGUGUGUUAUGAGGGCGUAAAAUUAUACAAUACCUUGCCAGCAGAAAUUAGAAGUUGUGAAAGAAUUGAUGUAUUUAAACAGAUGUUCAAAAAGCAUGUAAAUCUAUGUAAAACAUAAUAGCUGAAAAAGCUAAAUAAACUUCAAUCAAUCAA
This 7614-nucleotide long non-coding RNA is filed under the name Monomorium pharaonis (pharaoh ant). Its description in RNAcentral is "uncharacterized LOC118644409". The record is from RNAcentral. Lineage: Eukaryota; Metazoa; Arthropoda; Insecta; Hymenoptera; Formicidae.